GGAGGGCUUGAAUGAUGACGUCCAUAAUGAGGAAGAGGAGGAAGUACACUUGGGGUUGAAUGAUGAAGGGGAGGUGCAUAAGAGAAAUGAUGACGUCCAGAGGUAGGAGGAGGAGGAGGAAGUAGAGUUGGAGGAGGAGGACAUGGAUGAUCAACAGGUGCAUGUGGAGGUGCAUGUGGAGGAAGAAGUACACGUUGAAGAUUUUACUUCAAGUGUGUCUAAUGAUGCAGGGGAUGUUGAUGAAGGAGAAGGGGAUGAAGGAUUAGUGGAUGUUGAUGUUAAUGUUGAUAAAGUACUUAGGGACAAUAUAGAAG
Molecule: long non-coding RNA, 314 nt
Filed under: Vigna radiata
Lineage: Eukaryota; Viridiplantae; Streptophyta; Magnoliopsida; Fabales; Fabaceae
Description: long non-coding RNA (VRAD_LNC004517)
Source: RNAcentral